GCGUCCGUAGCCGGCCGGAAAAGUUCUCCGUUAAAUCCAACGAUCCAAUCGUUGGGCCGCGGGGAAUACUCUUCGGCUUGGGGGCGAGGGAGGUCGGCGGUAGUCUCGGGGUAAGGGCGAAAUCCUAUAAUCCCGAGAGGACCACCGGUGGCGAAGGCGGCCGACUAAAGCGCGCCCGACGGUGAGGGACGAAAGCUGGGGGAGCGAACGGGAUUAGAUACCCCGGUAGUCCCAGCUGUAAACGAUGCAGGCUAGGUGUUGGGACGGCCACGAGCUGUCCCAGUGCCGCAGGGAAGCCAUUAAGCCUGCCACCUGGGGAGUACGGUCGCAAGGCUGAAUUCUCUUUGAGCAUUCGCUCGAGAGACA
RNAcentral lists this ribosomal RNA (366 nucleotides) under uncultured crenarchaeote. Its description in RNAcentral is "bacterial SSU rRNA". It matches the Rfam family "Archaeal small subunit ribosomal RNA", at positions 515 to 878 of the family's 1478-position model. Lineage: Archaea; Thermoproteati; Thermoproteota. The record is from RNAcentral.